GGGGGGCAAACUGGUAGUCUUGAGGCAGUUAGGGGUGGGUGGAACUCUUGGUGGAGCGGUGGAAUGCGUAGAUAUCAAGAGGAACGCCAGAGGUGAAAACGACCCACUGGGACUGUCCUGACGCUGAGGUACGAAAGCGUGGGUAGCGAACGGGAUUAGAUACCCCGGGUAGUCCACGCCCGUAAACGAUGUGUACUAAACCAUAGGACUCUGACUGUUUUAUGGUUGCAGCAAAAGUGUUAAGUACACCGCCUGGGGAGUACGGUCGCAAGGCUAAAACUCAAAGGAAUUGACGGGGGCUCACACAAGCGGUGGAGCAUGUGGAUUAAUUCGAAGCAACGCGCAGAACCUUACCUGGGUUUGACAUGUUUGGAUGGCUGCUUAGAAAUAA
This 391-nucleotide ribosomal RNA is filed under the name uncultured bacterium. Its description in RNAcentral is "bacterial SSU rRNA". It matches the Rfam family "Bacterial small subunit ribosomal RNA", at positions 623 to 1009 of the family's 1533-position model. The record is from RNAcentral.